UUCUUUCUUUCUUUUUUUUUUUGUUUUGAUUGCUGAUGGUGUGGACUUAUGGUCAUAUGUGUCCAUUUACAUUUGUAUCAGUUUUUCAAUGAUUGUAACAUCAACCUGCCCAGGGACUACUGGUGGAAAUUAGCAUUUUUGCUAUAACCAGGUACAUUGCAUCUUUCCUUUUGGUCAAUGUAAAAUUGUACGCUGUCCCUGUAUAAAUAAAUGCAUACCAUACCAUACCAUACCAUACCCGUCAGGACCAAGUACCCCUGACUGCAGCCCGCAGAUCGGGGCGUGCCUCAACGUGGGCGGAGUUAAACGUUGAGCUCCGCCCACCUUGAACUAAACGUGGGCGGAGUUAAACGUUUAACUCCGCCCGCAUAGCGCAGUUGAACCGUUGAAGAAGAAGAAGAAUGUAUUAUAGAAGAAGAAGAAGUUUCCAAAAUGGAGGACAAUGCAGCCAGUCUCCAGUGGGUUCUGCUUCCUAUUUGUACCUGGACACUGGAUACUCUGCACAUUGCUCACAUCUCCUGGCCCUUGGAGGCAGCUUGGUGUGAAUGAUGUUCAGGAAAACAUGCUGCAGAUUAGAAGAUGGUGGUGUCUUGUUCUCCUGCAGAACUUCCCCAUGCUAUCUGAAGAAGAGAGAUUGCAGCAAAGAAAAAGGCAACAAGAGCAGAAAAAACUACAGUAUGUGGCUGAAGUCCCCCUGAAAAUGUUUAGGCUUUCAGAAUCUGCCACUGAAGCAUCAGGUAUUGUUCCAGCCAGCAUUGUCUCACACAUAUCCAUCAAGGUUGUUGAGGUUCGAUGUCACAGAGCAGUCAUUAUUUCUCUGUGUACUUAAAAUCAACCACUUAAAUCUUGCAUUGUCAUUGUGCCUGUAGACACCACAAUCUGUUUCCUUUCUAGAUGAGGCUGAGAACAGGACUGGGAACAGGAAACGGGGUAUAUUGCCUGAGAUGGGUAGUCUAAUUUCAGUGUUUUCUGCAAUCUCCGAGCCUUUACUUAAAUAACUGUUUUCUUUAUUUUUGUUUAGGAGAAUCCUUUGAUCAGGGAUGCAAUGGCAGCAGCCCGGUGGUGUGGGACCAGAACUUUCAAGGGAAAAAUUUCCCUUCCCCAAGUUGUUACCAUGGCCAAGGAGCAACGCGUGAGGGCAGGGAACUCCUGUGUGUCUGUGAUGGCCAGGAAGAAGAGGAGACCGCUGAUCUCAGAGAACCGUUCCUUUUUCUUUUUAGUCUGCAGGAAGACUAUGAGACAUUCUGUCAAGAAAUCAUUGACAGGAGAAACAUGAAGGUGUUUUGUGCUUUUGACAGAAAAGAAUAAAGUUGUGUUCAACGGUG
Long non-coding RNA from Acanthochromis polyacanthus (spiny chromis), 1325 nucleotides. RefSeq lists it as uncharacterized. NCBI's taxonomy places the organism in Eukaryota, Metazoa, Chordata, Actinopteri, Pomacentridae. The record is from RefSeq and is a predicted model, not a curated record. The transcript has 6 exons.